Molecule: ribosomal RNA, 468 nt
Filed under: uncultured bacterium
Lineage: Bacteria
Description: partial 16S ribosomal RNA
Rfam family: Bacterial small subunit ribosomal RNA
Source: RNAcentral
GACGAACGCUGGCGGCGUGCUUAACACAUGCAAGUCGAACGGAAAGGCCCUGCUUUUGUGGGGUGCUCGAGUGGCGAACGGGUGAGUAACACGUGAGUAACCUGCCCUUGACUUUGGGAUAACUUCAGGAAACUGGGGCUAAUACCGGAUAGGAGCUCCUGCUGCAUGGUGGGGGUUGGAAAGUUUCGGCGGUUGGGGAUGGACUCGCGGCUUAUCAGCUUGUUGGUGGGGUAGUGGCUUACCAAGGCUUUGACGGGUAGCCGGCCUGAGAGGGUGACCGGCCACAUUGGGACUGAGAUACGGCCCAGACUACGACGGGAGGCAGCAGUGGGGAAUAGUGCACAAUGGGCGGAAGCCUGAUGCAGCAACGCCGCGUGCGGGAUGACGGCCUUCGGGUUGUAAACCGCUUUCGCCUGUGACGAAGCGUGAGUGACGGUAAUGGGUAAAGAAGCACCGGCUAACUACGUG